UACGGGGGGGGCAAGCGUUGUUCGGAAUUACUGGGCGUAAAGCGUGCGCAGGCGGUUUUGUAAGCCAGAUGUGAAAGCCCCGGGCUUAACCUGGGAAUGGCAUUUGGGACUGCAAGGCUUGAGUGCGGCAGAGGAGACUGGAAUUCCUGGUGUAGCAGUGAAAUGCGUAGAUAUCAGGAGGAAUACCGAUGGCGAAGGCAGGUCUCUGGGCUGACACUGACGCUCAUGCACGAAAGCGUGGGGAGCAAACAGG
Molecule: ribosomal RNA, 253 nt
Filed under: uncultured bacterium
Lineage: Bacteria
Description: partial 16S ribosomal RNA
Rfam family: Bacterial small subunit ribosomal RNA
Source: RNAcentral